RNAcentral lists this ribosomal RNA (460 nucleotides) under uncultured bacterium. RNAcentral's name for it is "partial 16S ribosomal RNA". It matches the Rfam family "Bacterial small subunit ribosomal RNA", at positions 338 to 795 of the family's 1533-position model. The record is from RNAcentral.
CCUACGGGAGGCAGCAGUGAGGAAUAUUGGUCAAUGGACGAGAGUCUGAACCAGCCAAGUAGCGUGAAGGAUGACUGCCCUAUGGGUUGUAAACUUCUUUUAUAUGGGAAUAAAACAGGGUAUGCAUACCCCCUUGUAUGUACCAUAUGAAUAAGGUUCGGCUAACUCCGUGCCCGCAGCCGCGGUAAUACGGAGGAUCCGAGCGUUAUCCGGAUUUAUUGGGUUUAAAGGGAGCGUAGGUGGAUUGUUAAGUCAGGUGUGAAAGUUUGCGGCUCAACCGUAAAAUUGCAGUUGAAACUGGCAGUCUUGAGUACAGUAGAGGUGGGCGGAAUUCGUGGUGUAGCGGUGAAAUGCUUAGAUAUCACGAAGAACUCCGAUUGCGAAGGCAGCUCACUGGACUGCAACUGACACUGAUGCUCGAAAGUGUGGGUAUCAAACAGGAUUAGAUACCCUAGUAGUC